This 548-nucleotide ribosomal RNA is filed under the name Campylobacter coli. RNAcentral describes it as "partial 23S ribosomal RNA". It matches the Rfam family "Bacterial large subunit ribosomal RNA", at positions 1 to 568 of the family's 2925-position model. Lineage: Bacteria; Pseudomonadati; Campylobacterota; Epsilonproteobacteria; Campylobacterales; Campylobacteraceae. The record is from RNAcentral. RNAcentral also lists the same sequence under 1 other name.
AAAGGUAAGCUACUAAGAGCGAAUGGUGGAUGCCUUGACUGGUAAAGGCGAUGAAGGACGUACUAGACUGCGAUAAGCUACGGGGAGCUGUCAAGAAGCUUUGAUCCGUAGAUUUCCGAAUGGGGCAACCCAAUGUAUAGAGAUAUACAUUACCUAUAUAGGAGCGAACGAGGGGAAUUGAAACAUCUUAGUACCCUCAGGAAAAGAAAUCAAUAGAGAUUGCGUCAGUAGCGGCGAGCGAAAGCGCAAGAGGGCAAACCCAGUGCUUGCACUGGGGGUUGUAGGACUGCAAUGUGCAAGAGGUAAGUUUAGCAGAACAUUCUGGAAAGUAUAACCAUAGAGGGUGAUAGUCCCGUAUGCGAAAAACAAACCUUAGCUAGCAGUAUCCUGAGUAGGGCGGGACACGAGGAAUCCUGUCUGAAUCUGGGUCGACCACGAUCCAACCCUAAAUACUAAUACCAGAUCGAUAGUGCACAAGUACCGUGAGGGAAAGGUGAAAAGAACUGAGGUGAUCAGAGUGAAAUAGAACCUGAAACCAUUUGCUUACA